AGCAGUAGCCACGGUAAUACGUAGGUGGCAAGCGUUGUCCGGAAUUAUUGGGCGUAAAGCGCGCGCAGGCGGCCUAUCCAGUCUGUCUUAAAAGUUCGGGGCUCAACCCCGUGAUGGGAUGGAAACUAGUAGGCUAGAGUAUCGGAGAGGAAAGCGGAAUUCCUAGUGUAGCGGUGAAAUGCGUAGAUAUUAGGAAGAACACCAGUGGCGAAGGCGGCUUUCUGGACGAAAACUGGCGCUGAGGCGCGAAAGCCAGGGGAGCGAACGGGAUUAGAUACCCGCGUAGUCCCUGUCUCUUAUACC
This 303-nucleotide ribosomal RNA is filed under the name uncultured bacterium. Its description in RNAcentral is "partial 16S ribosomal RNA". It matches the Rfam family "Bacterial small subunit ribosomal RNA", at positions 507 to 808 of the family's 1533-position model. The record is from RNAcentral.